Molecule: ribosomal RNA, 253 nt
Filed under: uncultured bacterium
Lineage: Bacteria
Description: partial 16S ribosomal RNA
Rfam family: Bacterial small subunit ribosomal RNA
Source: RNAcentral
UACGAAGGGGGCUAGCGUUGCUCGGAAUUACUGGGCGUAAAGGGCGCGUAGGCGGAUAGUUUAGUCAGAGGUGAAAGCCCAGGGCUCAACCUUGGAAUAGCCUUUGAUACUGGCUGUCUUGAGUUCGGGAGAGGUGAGUGGAAUGCCGAGUGUAGAGGUGAAAUUCGUAGAUAUUCGGCGGAACACCAGUGGCGAAGGCGACUCACUGGCCCGAUACUGACGCUGAGGCGCGAAAGCGUGGGGAGCAAACAGG